This 561-nucleotide ribosomal RNA is filed under the name uncultured bacterium. Its description in RNAcentral is "bacterial SSU rRNA". It matches the Rfam family "Bacterial small subunit ribosomal RNA", at positions 297 to 857 of the family's 1533-position model. The record is from RNAcentral.
AGGGUGAACGGCCACAUUGGGACUGAGACACGGACCAAACUAUUACGGGAGGCAGCAGUGGGGAAUAUUGCACAAUGGGGGAAACCCUGAUGCAGCGACGCCGCGUGAGUGAAGAAGUAUUUCGGUACGUAAAGCUCUAUCAGCAGGGAAGAAAGAAAGUCCUUUGGACUUUGGACGGUACCUGACCAAGAAGCCCCGGCUAACUACGUGCCAGCAGCCGCGGUAAUACGUAGGGGGCAAGCGUUAUCUGGAUUUACUGGGUGUAAAGGGAGCGUAGACGGCAGCGCAAGUCUGGAGUGAAAUGCCGGGGCCCAACCCCGGAACUGCUUUGGAAACUGUGCAGCUCGAGUGCAGGAGAGGUAAGCGGAAUUCCUAGUGUAGCGGUGAAAUGCGUAGAUAUUAGGAGGAACACCAGUGGCGAAGGCGGCUUACUGGACUGUAACUGACGUUGAGGCUCGAAAGCGUGGGGAGCAAACAGGAUUAGAUACCCUGGUAGUCCACGCCGUAAACGAUGAUUACUAGGUGUCGGGGGGCCAAGGCCCUCCGGUGCCGCCGCAAACG